GACGAACGCUGGCGGCGUGCCUAACACAUGCAAGUCGAACGAAGAAUGUUUUUCGGAAUAUUCUUAGUGGCGGACGGGUGAGUAACGCGUGAACAAUCUGCCCCGUACAAAGGGAUAGCCUCGGGAAACCGGGAUUAAAACCAUAUAACGCUUUAGUACCGCAUGGUAAUAAAGUCAAAUCGAUUAAGAGGUAUGGGAUGAGUUCGCGUCUGAUUAGCUAGUUGGUGAGGUAAGGGCUCACCAAGGCGACGAUCAGUAGCCGGCCUGAGAGGGUGAACGGCCACACUGGAACUGAGACACGGUCCAGACUCCUACGGGAGGCAGCAGUGGGGAAUAUUGCACAAUGGAGGGAACUCUGAUGCAGCGACGCCGCGUGAGUGAAGAAGGUCUUCGGAUCGUAAAACUCUGUCCUUGGUGAAGUAAAGGACGGUAGCCAAGGACGGAAGCCCCGGUAACUACGUG
RNAcentral lists this ribosomal RNA (462 nucleotides) under uncultured bacterium. Its description in RNAcentral is "bacterial SSU rRNA". It matches the Rfam family "Bacterial small subunit ribosomal RNA", at positions 28 to 507 of the family's 1533-position model. The record is from RNAcentral.